Molecule: ribosomal RNA, 429 nt
Filed under: uncultured bacterium
Lineage: Bacteria
Description: bacterial SSU rRNA
Rfam family: Bacterial small subunit ribosomal RNA
Source: RNAcentral
GAACGCCAUCCUUAUGGUGUGAGUGGCAGACGGCUGAGUACACGUGGGUGACUACUAUUGGUGGGGAAUAACUGCCCGAAAGGGUGGCUAAUACCGCAUACGCCUGUUCGUUCGUUUCGGAUAGGGAAAAUCGCAAGAUGCCGAUGGAUCGGUCCGCGACCGAUUAGCCAGUUGGUGGGGUAACGGCCUACCAAAGCGACGAUCGGUAUCUGGUCUCAUAGGAUGAUCUGCCAUACUGGGAUUGAUACUCUGCCCAUAUUCCUACUGGAGGCAUCAUUUAUGAAUUUUGGGCAAUGGGCGCAAGCCUGACCCAGCAUCGCCGCGUGGGUGACGAAGGCCUUCGGGUUGUAAAGCCCUUUUCUGGAGGAUGAUGAUGACUGUACUCCAUGAAGAAUCACCGGCUAUCUACGUGCCAUCAGCCGUGGUAAU